This 725-nucleotide long non-coding RNA is filed under the name Ursus maritimus (polar bear). Its description in RNAcentral is "lncRNA (ENSUMAG00000022441.1)". The record is from RNAcentral. Lineage: Eukaryota; Metazoa; Chordata; Mammalia; Carnivora; Ursidae.
AUCUGCCUGGGGAAUGGCACACUGCACCGAGGUAAACGGAAGACAAGUCAACAGAGCAGAGUGGUGUCCAGAUACUAUGAAGAGAUUCACAAAACAACUGUUUCAUCCAAUCAUGGGGUUUGGACUUUCAUGACUCACUUUUCCCCAAAGAUGAACUGAUAAAUCUUGUCUAUUCUUCAUGGACGAGGAAACUGAGCUACAGUCAAGGUUAAGGGAUAUGCCCAAGGUCAUACAGCUACAAGUGGCAGCUCUUCAUGAGAUGGUGUUUGAUGAUCUCGAACAGCUGAACCCUUGGUUCCAGCCACCCUUCAACAAACACUCUCUACUCGGGGCUUCUUACGUCCUUGAAUCCAAAAUUUUCUGGUACAACACGAAUAUCAGAAGUAAUUUUCACCUACUGGAGUGUCUUUGUCUCACCUCUGGAAAGAACGAGCCCCAGGAAAUAAAGGAGGACGUACUUUUAGAAUCCAAGAGCUGAAAUAGACCUUGAUGAUCGCUCUGCUCAUCAGAGUUUCCUGAACUUCUAACCCUGGGGGCAAAGCAGAGUAGCUGAGCUGGCCUGAGGGUUCAAGUGCUUUGCCCGGAUUUCCUGCCUCAAGCAAGAAAAUGGCUUUCAAGUCUCAAAUUCUAGCUUAAAAAUUCAUGAAGCAUUUCGCAUUCUAAACCUAUAAUGUCUCUGUUAAUGAACUGCUUUUUCAAAAAAUAAAUCUUUAAAUAAGAUUAUC